Vicia villosa (hairy vetch) is the source of this 290-nucleotide long non-coding RNA. RefSeq lists it as uncharacterized. Lineage: Eukaryota; Viridiplantae; Streptophyta; Magnoliopsida; Fabales; Fabaceae. The transcript has 3 exons. The record is from RefSeq and is a predicted model, not a curated record.
GAGCACACUGGUUGUUGCUUGCUAUCAACCCGAUAAGAGAAGUGGUAUAUUUUCUGAAUUCGGUAGAUGGUGAGUGGAGCAAUUAUCCGGCUAUGAAGGAAAUUAUUGAUUUAUCAAUACAAGUGUUCCGAAGUCAACGAGACGCACAGGUAUCCCAGACUAAAUCAAACAACAUUACUUGGAUCAAAGUGCAGUGUCCGAUACAGCGAAACAGUUCAGACUGCGGAUACUUUGUUUUGAGGUUUAUGAAAGAAAUCCUUCAAAUGAAUCAAUUAGAGAUUCCAAUCACG